GUAAGUUAAGAAACUGUUUCUUAACUUUUAACUAAAAAACCUAAGAACCGGUUCUUGAAUAAGGAUUUUAAGAACCGGUUCUUAACUUUUUUAGUUAAAAUUUAAGAAACAGUUUCUUAACUUCC
This is a microRNA precursor of Brassica oleracea var. oleracea, 125 nucleotides long. It matches the Rfam family "MIR9563 microRNA precursor family". The record is from Rfam. Lineage: Eukaryota; Viridiplantae; Streptophyta; Magnoliopsida; Brassicales; Brassicaceae.